This 476-nucleotide ribosomal RNA is filed under the name uncultured bacterium. RNAcentral describes it as "bacterial SSU rRNA". It matches the Rfam family "Bacterial small subunit ribosomal RNA", at positions 1 to 507 of the family's 1533-position model. The record is from RNAcentral.
AGACGUCUACGAGUUUAUCCUGGCUCAGGACGAACGCUGACGGCGUGCCUAACACAUGCAAGUCAAGGGGCCUUCGGGUCACUGGCGCACGGGUGAGUAACGCGUAGAUUAUCUACCCAUAUCUCUGACAUAACUGCUGGAAACGGUAGCUAAUAUCAGAUGAGGCCUACGGGUCAAAGUUUUAAUGGAUAUGGAUGAGUCUGCGUCUGAUUAACUAGUUGGUAGUGUAAUGGACUACCAAGGCUACGAUCAGUAACUGGUCUGAGAGGACGAUCAGUCACACUGGAACUGAGACACGGUCCAGACUCCUACGGGAGGCAGCAGUGAGGAAUUUUGGACAAUGGGGGAAACCCUGAUCCAGCGACGCCGUGUGUGGGAUGAAUCGGUUAUACCGUGUAAACCACUGUCAGAUGGGAAAAAAGAAUCUUCUGGAUUCUGGGAUUGUACCAUCAGAGGAAGGACCGGCUAACUACGUG